CUUGGGCUCAGCUGCUUUAGAGUCUCUUCCACCUUAGCUUCAUUUUGAAGACACGUGUCUACAGUUCUGUGUCACUUUGAAAUGUCUGUCUCAUUUGGCUAAUCUUACUGAAUUAGGUAGCCUUUAUACUGCCCUUGAAAGGUAUUUGGUUUGGCUUUACAAAGAAGGAAAUUGGUAGCUUUGAUAGGUCGAUUCAGUUGUUCCAUCCCUCUAUGUCAGUGAGGGCUUGUAAGCACUUACCCUUCUUUUACAUGGUGCCAACACAAGGAAAAAAAAAGAUUUGUCAAACAUCUCUGUGGCUCUCAAAACAGAGGUCAGUAAUGUUCCUGAUUUUGUUUCUUUUGACAUAAUGCUAUAAUGCCACUCCUAGCUUCCAAGAGAUUAAAAAAAAAAAAAAAAAAAAAAAAAAAAGCCUGUGACUGGUGCUUUGCCAUUUGUCUCCCGCAGGUCAGGCUGGGUUUCCCUGAGGUCUGGGAGGUUGCAUGCAGAGUGAUUUUCCCAGCCUUGCUGCAGUGUGGUGGCUCAGCUGGCAGAGCAUCCUGUUGCCUUGGGGCAGCAAGCCAGGUCUGGGGAUUUUCACACAUAUGUCUCCCUUCUCAACCUGUGCAUUCAUCUAUGCAUGCAGAGGAAACAUGGCCAAGUGCUGCACAGCAGACUGAGAAUCAAGGAAGCUGAGUCUGGAGACUAUCCCUCCUGCUGACGGUGAAUGAAGACUGCAAUAUUCUCUGCUGCAAGUCCAUCUGCUCUUGAACCUUUAAAAAGAUCUAUCUAACAGUGUUUUUCCUUUGAAGUUUCCAAAGCUACUUAUGAAGCCUUGAAAGCAGUACUAUUCAUGUGCUACAGAUACGAGAGCUGAAUCAUCAAGGUAACAAAUUGUUUGAGAAGGGACAGUUUUCUCUAAGUAAUGAACACAUGGAAGGAACUGGGGGAAGAUCCAGUGCUUUCCAGUGAUUUCUCUGAGCUCAGCAAGCACUGAAAUACAUAGGAUAGUGGAGAAAUCUGCACAAAUGAAGUUGCCCAGAAGACUACGCUGUAUCAUUAAAGAACUCGGUAGUAAAAAUAC
RNAcentral lists this long non-coding RNA (1063 nucleotides) under Numida meleagris (helmeted guineafowl). RNAcentral's name for it is "lncRNA (ENSNMEG00000002244.1)". Lineage: Eukaryota; Metazoa; Chordata; Aves; Galliformes; Numididae. The record is from RNAcentral.